Long non-coding RNA from Aegilops tauschii subsp. strangulata, 4007 nucleotides. RefSeq lists it as uncharacterized. NCBI's taxonomy places the organism in Eukaryota, Viridiplantae, Streptophyta, Magnoliopsida, Poales, Poaceae. The record is from RefSeq and is a predicted model, not a curated record.
GGUAUCUUAGGUACUUAGGUAGCCACCGACUGAGGACAUAGCUGACUAUUUCCUUCGUCUCCGACAGAGUGUCCGGUGGUCGACAGUGGCCUGGUAUCCGACUGUUGGGACUUAGCACAGUCUAAUGCUACCCUCCUUUUCCUUGAUGGGCCAAAGGUUGAGCCCCUUGGCCCACUACCUUCUGGGUCGUAUCUUAUAUGAGUCUUGGGCCUUUGGUGGGCCACUUGUAUACAUUAGUCUACCCCGCAUUUGUAACCCAACACCCUUCGUAUCAUAAUAUAUGACGUUUUUGUAGCUUAAUUUGUACAAAGGUAGAAUAAGAUAAGAAGAAGGUAAUAUAUGAAGAAGAAAAACGAAUAUCCAAUUCUAAGCCCCGACUCAUCUGCACCCAGUAACAGUAAAUUAAAAAAAAUCAAAAAAGUCCGCUUUUUGCGCGGAAGAUAUUUUAGUGUGUGAGUUGUGUGCCAAAUUUUAAAGCAUUUGUAAACCUGAGUAGCUCUCAGCAAGAGAAAAACAAAAUCGGAUCAAAAAAGUACACAAACAUUAAACUUUUUCACGUAUCCCAAAAUUUUCUUUCUUACUGAGAGAUACUUAGACAUUUAAAUGCUAUGAGAUUUGGCAUGGACAUCACACACUCAGUCAUCUUUCUCCACAAAAAGAAAAUUGUUUUUUUAAUUUAUUUUGUAUUUUUAAGGAUUUUUUUACUCCCGGGCUCCAAAACGCCUCGUCCGAAGAAAAAAUAAAUAGAGAUAUCUCUCUAGUUACUAAGCUCCCGAGAAAUAGCGAUCCCACAACGAUCGUGAGUUUUUUACUGCCGUGCCCCUGCCUGUAAGAUGUAGAAAUGUUGUGUUUCCACCGUCUGGGCCCAACUGUUGUGCUUGCGUUGCCAUAUUGUCGGUUCCCGACGGCCCAAGGUAUUGUUUACAUGGGCCUUGAGUCCUUGACCACCGCUAUCUGCAGAGGUGAGGUGUUGCGUAGAUGGUGAAGACUGAAAAACCUGGCGUGUUGCGCUGCGCUACCCUGCCUUGCCUCAUUGCGCCGCUGUCUAUGCGGAAUGGCCGUCGGAUCGGUUCCUUGCCGGACUACGGGGCUGCCUCCGCCGGUGCUCAUGUUGCGGAGAGGCUGCGGGUGAGACUGGAGACGCGUGCCUCGUGGAAAAUCCAUGCGUUCCUCCCUUUCCCCCAAAUCACGAGCAGAGCUAGAGAGAGAUGGAUACUCGAGGAGGGCGAUUACGGCGAUGGAUUCACCGAGCGAGGCCUGAGACAUGGAUUGUGUCGCGGUCGGGGUGUCAUCUGGGCAGCUGCGAGGAUGAGCCGCAGCAGGGCCAUCAAUGCGCCUUGGCACCUGUGCAGAUUCGGCCAUGGGGGUGGCUCAGCACCAUGUGGCUGGGCGCGGGUAAGAUGGAUAUGGCGGUAGCCUUUGACCUUUUGCCCCCUCCGCAUACUCGUCCCUGUCACAGUGGCACUCCCCUUGCCUUGGGUUUGAGCUCUUCUUGCAAAUUCUCCUCGUUGCUGCCACUCCUCCAAGUCGUCCCAGCUGUAGUAGCCGCCGCAGUCUAUAAAAGGGAAGUAGGAGAAUCAACAUGCAAGCAUGAGACAAGGUUCAGAUCUUGAAGAGUCACAAUGAGAUCCACGUGCACAUUUGUUUGACAUCGCACAGUUAGUUUUCCACUGCGCUCAAAUUAUGUAGCUGAUAGAUACACAUGAUAGAUGCAUGUUCUGUUAUAACAUGCAAUGUUCUACUAAUGAAGCAUUCCUCAAAUUGAAUCACUUUAGGAUGUGCACGGACAGAUAUGAUUAAAUAUUCUUGUUCACAUCUAUUUCUGUUUAUCCUACUGUUUACGCACCUAUCCAAAUGAUUAAAUAUUUCUAAUGGGAUUUACACGCACAGAUACACCUCAUGGUUGUAGGGUUUUUCUUUGUGUUCCUCCUACAUGCAUGAGCUGAGAUGUUGGUAUAUGCAAAUCAGUCAGAAACAACCAUUUGGUGGCAUCUUUGCCAGGGUAUCAUUGGACUAAUUUUAAGGUGUACCAUCAAUUUUUGUUAAUAUUAGCAUUUGGAGCAUACCAAAAAGUAAACCUUCCUCUCUUUAUUCAUGCUGCCUUAGCUCUCAUCUAUCUUGAGAUUAUGUGAUUCUUUAGGCAACUCAUGGCAAGAAACUUUUGUGAUAGCAAAAUCUAUCUAUCAAACUUACUGACCCAGAACAAGCUGUAGCGCAAGUGCUUUACUCUAUUUUAGUUCUUUCUUUGUUGCUUCAUUCCCCUCUUUUCUCAUGUGAUUGCGUACGUUGUUUCAGUUUGUUCACUCCAUGCUUCCAUUCCUACUGGUGUUUGAAUGUUGUGUGUUGUCUAUGGUGUCUUCUGUGAGAAGGGGCAUGCAGUGGUGUUCUCUGUGGAGGGGAGCUAUUUGCUUGCCAUGGUUGGGGUCUUUUGCAUCGGUCUUCUCUGGUCUGCUUGUGGGUGGAGGGGUUUGGGUGGUUUUCAGUUGCUGGACUUCGUCGACCUGCCUGCCUUCCUACGCUCCAUCUGAAGGUUUGGUUUCGCGUGCUGAUGUGAAUUUGGGGAACAAUUACAAUAUAUGUGCUUCUAUUAGUAAGCUAUUUAAAUCAUGUUUCCUAAAAAUUAAGUAUGUUGUUUACAUAUAAAAUGCAACAUUUCAGCAAGCUUUGGAGCAUGAUAUCGGUUUCGGUACUACACCAUGCAUAGUCACGUACUUGAAAUAUAACACACUUACAAGUUAGAAUUAAAACAAGAUCACCAAUAGAAGGUCUUCACGUUCUAUCUGGGUUUUAACAAAAAAGAGUCAAACAAAGCAUGGUUAUGAAUGUGGCAGUAGACUAUGACUAUGUAACAUGCUACUAAAGAUCCUCACCCAAAUUCUCAGGUUAAAUAUGUACUCUUUAACAAGAAUGAAAAUACUAUGUGUGUCCAUUUGGUAAGAUUGUGUUGAAAAUCACAUUAAAUGAUUGUGUUGAUACUAUUUAUCUGUUCAAAUGUAUCAUUACUCUUAAUGUUGUUAGUUAUGUACACUCCUUAGCUGCCGUGUUGACAUGCUCGGUACCAAAUUUUCUGUUUACUAGAAAGUAAAUAACUUCUUAAUUCAACAUUGGAUCUAUUUAAUAAUAUUUUGAUAUAAUGAUCAAUUAGUUUGGAGGUUAUAUUGGGAUUAAGGGAGACAAUUUCAGCGUAGAUCAGGUCCAUAUGAAAUAGCCUGUAGGUCUGGCAUUUUCCUCUAUAUAUAUGUUCUCAUCUACCACUAAUUACACAACAACUGUGAAGAAGAAUGGCUAAACUUGAAGUACAUCGGAAUUUUACAAACACUCUACCUAUGUGAGCACUUAGUUAUAGGGUACAUCUUCUGCCAAAUCUAUCUGUCUUAUUUGACAAUAUAUCUGUGGUGGAACAAUUUUUCUAUAUCUUCUUUCUAAAGUAUGUAAGUACAGAUUACGGAAGAAUCAACACUUGCGUUACAUAUAUAUUAUGAAUCUCAUAGUUUUGUCUACUGCUGAUGACAACAUGAACAUUUACUGUGGGCCACGAUGGCCAUGGAUGCGAAAUGUGGUGAUGGUCCUGGCUGAGAAAAUCAACUAUAUCUUGGAGUUUUAAUUUGGUAAAAUAUGACCCCCUCACCGCCAAAGACACAGAUUCGUAUGUACCGGUAACUCAAUAAUAACUUCAUUACAGAUUUGUGUGCACCAGGUAAUUGUAUAAUAGCUUCGGCCACUGAUGUGAGAAGUUGCUUAUUGUAUUUUUCUGAUCCUACAACAUAUUUGAAUACAUCAAUUUGGUGACUAUUCAUAAGUGCAACAUCUUCACGUGUAUUAGUAACCCAUCCUACAUAUUGGAAUUAUUUUUAUUUCCUCGUGAUUUGAUCUGUCCUUGUAUGUGAUUCUUAGUUAUGUAAUUUCUGUGUGUGCCGCUGAUUCGGUGGGUUUUUGGGUUGUUUCUCUGACCUGCUAUUGUUGUAACGGUUUCUUUGUCGGGAUGACUCUUCGAUGUUGUCUGCCUA